GAAUUCUUGUAUCAGUCCGGGGAUGAGUUCUACAAAUAUGGUUGGCUUGUGUAGUAACAAUCUUGGAGGUGGGGAGAUAGAGACUGUUAAGUUGGAACCUAUAUUGGUUGAAAGUUUAAUUCCACAAAUGGAGUGCUGUGAAGCUGAUUCCUUGCCAUAUAAAAAAUCCUCAAGCAGCUGUGGGAGGCAAGAUUCUACAGCUACUGAACAGAGUAGAACUUCCGUCUUGGAUCAAGAUCAGUCUCCGAUAGAUGAUUCAAGCCUAUGUUCUACAUCACAAAUAUGUCCAGCACCCCUAUCUCGCCAGUUCUGGAAAGCUGGAAAUUAUGAUGAGGGGCAUGCUACCAAGUCCACCCUUAAAAAAGGCUCCAGUUUCUUGCACAUUCACCCGAAGUUCCUUCACUCAAACGCCACUUCCCAUAAGUGGGCAUUUGGUGCCUUGGCAGAGCUCCUUGACAAUGCUGUUGAUGAGAUACAAAAUGGAGCCUCCUUUGUUAUUGUAGAUAAAACACCAAAUCCAAGGAACGGGAGUUCAGCUUUAAUGGUUCAAGAUGAUGGCGGUGGAAUGGACCCAGAAGCCAUACGUCGUUGUAUGAGCUUUGGGUUUUCAGAUAAGAAGUCAGCUUCAACUAUUGGACAGUAUGGAAAUGGUUUUAAGACCAGUUCAAUGAGACUUGGGGCAGAUGUUAUUGUCUUUAGCCGCUGCAAAAAGAACAGGAAAUUGACACAAAGCAUUGGGCUUCUAUCUCAGACAUUUCUGACUCGAGCAGGCCUUGACAAAAUAGUGGUUCCUUUGCUUGACUUUGAGUUCAGUGCAGCAGCUAAAAAAUGGAGUUCAUUACACGGUGAACAACAUUUUAGGAAUAACCUCUCGUUGUUGUUGCGCUGGUCUCCAUUUGCUACAGAGGCAGAGCUUCUUAAGCAAUUUGAUGACAUUGGUGAUCAUGGUACAAAGGUGAUUGUCUACAAUUUGUGGUAUAAUGAUGAAGGAAGAAUGGAGC
Molecule: unclassified non-coding RNA, 1001 nt
Filed under: Hevea brasiliensis (rubber tree)
Lineage: Eukaryota; Viridiplantae; Streptophyta; Magnoliopsida; Malpighiales; Euphorbiaceae
Source: RNAcentral